RNAcentral lists this ribosomal RNA (253 nucleotides) under uncultured bacterium. Its description in RNAcentral is "partial 16S ribosomal RNA". It matches the Rfam family "Bacterial small subunit ribosomal RNA", at positions 524 to 776 of the family's 1533-position model. The record is from RNAcentral.
UACGUAGGGUCCGAGCGUUGUCCGGAAUUAUUGGGCGUAAAGAGCUCGUAGGCGGGUUGUCGCGUCUGCUGUGAAAUCCCGAGGCUCAACCUCGGGUCUGCAGUGGGUACGGGCAGACUGGAGUGCGGUAGGGGAGAAUGGAAUUCCUGGUGUAGCGGUGGAAUGCGCAGAUAUCAGGAGGAACACCGAUGGCGAAGGCAGUUCUCUGGGCCGUAACUGACGCUGAGGAGCGAAAGCGUGGGGAGCGAACAGG